AGUCCCAUUUAGUUCCUUUGGUUUUUAAGCUUAUGCAUCUUGUGUGUUUGGUAUUCUUUUCAUUCCACCUUUUCCCAAAAGGUUGGUGAAGAAUUAUAAGAUACAAUGGACCUCAGGCAGUUAUGUUCAGGCUGGAAGACUUUAGCCGGAGAGGAUCAGGGACAUGUAGGUGGCAGAUUGGGUGAGGAUCAUGGAAGAACUCACUGAGCAGUUGGAGGCAAGAGCAGGGGUCUAGCUGCUGGUGAAGACAUCCUUAAUCACUGGAUAGGGGUAAGCCAAGAGUGAAUCUUAUUCUAGUGUAUGGAGCAGUGUUAGGAAAUGUUCAGAUAGAGCUGUGUCUUAAAUGGCUCAUUUAUUCAUAUGUUCUUUCAAACAUUUAUUCAUUUACUCACAAAUGCUUACUAAGUACCUGCUAAGUGUCACUAGUAUGUGUCUUAGAUAUCGAAAAGAUUCUGCAGCUUUCCUCAGUAAACAUCGACUCUCAGUCAACGUUCCUUGAUAUGCAGACAUGAAUAAGGAAGGCGUGAAUUGAGGUGUGAAUUAAGAAAGUGUCACAGUCAGAUCCUUAUGAAUAAGAAAAAUAUAGAGUACAGAUUUUUUCUUAAUUGUAUUUUUUAACUUUUUACUAUGGUCGAUUUCAAAUUAAUAGAAAGUAGAAAGGAUAAUAUAAUGAACCUCAUGUGCCCAUUAUCAGCUUCAACAGUACCAACUCACAGCCAGUUUUGCUUCAUCCAAAUGCCCACCUGCUUUUCUCUCCCACAUUAUUUUGAAGCAAAUCCUAGACAUCAUAUCAUUUUUUUUUCAUUUUAUUUUUAUUUUAUUUUACUUUAAGUUCUGGGAUACAUGUGCUGAAAGUGCAGGUUUGUUACAUAGGUAUACAUGUGCUGUGGUGGUUUGCUGCACCUGUCACCCCGUCAUCUAGGUUUUAAGCUCUACAUGCAUUAGGUAUUUGUCCUAAGGCUCUCCCUCCCCUUUCCCCCUACCCCUGAUGAUAUCAUAUCAUUUUAUCUGUAGAUUUUACAGUAAGUAUCUCUACAAGAUAAAGCUUAUUUCUCAACCUUGUUUAUUGUCUAUUAAGCAGUACAGAUUUUUUUUCUCUUCGCCUUUUUUCAGUGUGGAAUUCUGGGUAAUUUUCUCUCUGAUUUAGAAUCCUUGAUGACAUUGAAGUUUAUGAAGAACAGAUUUCAUUCAAACUGGAAGAGCUGGUCACUAUCUCCUCUUUCCUGAAUUCCUUUGUGUUUAAGAUGAUCUGGGAUGGAAUUGUAGAGAACGCCAAGGGUGAGACCUUGGAGCUGUUCCAGUCUGUCCACGGGUGGCUUAUGGUGCUGUACGAGCGGGACUGCCGGCGGCGCUUCACCCCCGAGGACCACUGGCUGCGAAAGGAUCUCAAACCUAGCGUGCUCUUCCAAGAACUCGACAGGGACAGAAAACGGGCACAGUUGAUCCUGCAGUACAUCCCACAUGUCAUCCCUCACAAAAACAGAGUUCUACUGUUUCGAACCAUGGUUACCAAGGAGAAGGAGAAACUGGGGCUGGUGGAAACCAGCUCUGCCUCCCCGCAUGUCACUCACAUCACCAUCCGCCGGUCCAGGAUGCUGGAGGACGGCUACGAGCAGCUUAGGCAGCUCUCCCAGCACGCCAUGAAGGGGGUCAUCCGUGUGAAGUUUGUCAAUGACCUCGGGGUGGACGAAGCAGGGAUUGAUCAAGAUGGUGUUUUUAAGGAGUUCUUGGAAGAGAUCAUCAAGAGAGUUUUUGACCCAGCACUCAAUCUGUUCAAGACAACCAGUGGGGAUGAGAGGCUGUACCCCUCACCCACAUCCUACAUCCAUGAGAAUUACCUGCAGCUCUUCGAGUUUGUGGGGAAGAUGCUGGGGAAGGCUGUGUAUGAGGGAAUUGUGGUGGACGUGCCAUUUGCAUCCUUCUUCCUGAGCCAACUGCUUGGGCACCACCACAGCGUCUUCUAUAGCUCGGUGGAUGAACUGCCUUCUCUGGACUCCGAGUUCUAUA
This 2007-nucleotide small RNA is filed under the name Pan troglodytes (chimpanzee). RNAcentral describes it as "retained intron". The record is from RNAcentral. Lineage: Eukaryota; Metazoa; Chordata; Mammalia; Primates; Hominidae.